This 468-nucleotide ribosomal RNA is filed under the name uncultured bacterium. RNAcentral's name for it is "partial 16S ribosomal RNA". It matches the Rfam family "Bacterial small subunit ribosomal RNA", at positions 28 to 507 of the family's 1533-position model. The record is from RNAcentral.
GACGAACGCUGGCGGCGUGCUUAACACAUGCCAGUCGAACGGAAAGGCCCUGCUUUUGUGGGGUGCUCGAGUGGCGAACGGGUGAGUAACACGUGAGUAACCUGCCCUUGACUUUGGGAUAACUUCAGGAAACUGGGGCUAAUACCGGAUAGGAGCUCCUGCUGCAUGGUGGGGGUUGGAAAGUUUCGGCGGUUGGGGAUGGACUCGCGGCUUAUCAGCUUGUUGGUGGGGUAGUGGCUUACCAAGGCUUUGACGGGUAGCCGGCCUGAGAGGGUGACCGGCCACAUUGGGACUGAGAUACGGCCCAGACUCCUACGGGAGGCAGCAGUGGGGAAUAUUUCACAAUGGGCGGAAGCCUGAUGCAGCAACGCCGCGUGCGGGACGACGGCCUUCGGGUUGUAAACCGCUUUCGCCUGUGACGAAGCGUGAGUGACGGUAAUGGGUAAAGAAGCACCGGCUAACUACGUG